This 737-nucleotide long non-coding RNA is filed under the name Homo sapiens (human). RNAcentral describes it as "HSALNT0342033". The record is from RNAcentral. Lineage: Eukaryota; Metazoa; Chordata; Mammalia; Primates; Hominidae.
AUAAGUACUAGGGAUGUGAUCCACAGCUAUCACCUCGGGGUGGAGAAGUGAAAAACUUACUAGCUUUGCCAGUUUGACUGUCAGAGAGAGCUGCAUUCAAAUUCUGACCCCAAUCCUUGCUAUCUACGUAACAGACAAAUGGGGUAACACAUAGAAAAGGCACGGAGAAGUUAAGUGAUUUGCCUGUGGUCACAAAGCCUGUUAGCAGCAAACCCAGAACAAGAACCUAAGAUUUAUGACCGCCAGUUCCAGCUGUUUUUCUUCGUCAUGUAUCCUCAGCAAUCAACAUAAUCAAAAUCUGUUUGGAGACUACUGAUUUGUAUAAAGGAAGAUAACACCGAACAACCAAACAGGAAGUAAUCCAGCGAAUCUGGAACAGCGGUGGAAUUUAGAAGCAAGGCCAGAUGAGGACCCUAAGACCUAGAGAAACUAAGUCAUUUGCUCAAGAAGACAAAGGCAUCGUCUGGUCCAGUUCAGCACAGAGCUAGCUGCAAGUGACAACCUAAGAGAAAAGUCAGCGAGAACAAAGAUCCAUCUCUUCGUUGACUGCCUUAAUCCCUAGAGCUGUGUUCUUCAAUUUGUUACUAUUUGCUACAAUUUUUCUGCCUAACAAGCAAGUUCUAUCCUGCCUAGGAGAGAAACUUUUAGUAAAUUCAUCUUCAUUCACUACUAUUCAGCUCAUGCUGUAAAAACUUAGAUAAUGCUGUCUGAAAUACUUAACUCCUGGUCAAAUGCAG